AUAAGUAGGCAUGAAUGAUGAAAAAGCUAGUCUACCAGAUAUUGGGUUUCGACAAAAAAUAAUGGCUUGAGAAAUUUGCUUUUGGUGGUAGCUACAAAUAACUAUCAGAUCUAACCUACCUUGCUUAAACAAGAUAACGCAUAUUUACGAACUUACGAUCCGCUUAAACCAACAAGUGUAAAACCAAACAUAUCACUCGCGCAUUGAGCUGAACAAAACAAUGACUUAUCUAAAUCAA
Schizosaccharomyces pombe (fission yeast) is the source of this 238-nucleotide non-coding RNA. NCBI's taxonomy places the organism in Eukaryota, Fungi, Ascomycota, Schizosaccharomycetes, Schizosaccharomycetales, Schizosaccharomycetaceae. The record is from the annotation of a GenBank genome assembly.